This 786-nucleotide unclassified non-coding RNA is filed under the name Hevea brasiliensis (rubber tree). The record is from RNAcentral. Lineage: Eukaryota; Viridiplantae; Streptophyta; Magnoliopsida; Malpighiales; Euphorbiaceae.
AUGGGAUUCUGACAUCUUCCAUCCACAUCCAGAAUCAAGAUUCGUCUCUCGGAGAUAUCUUUCCUCAGUAUACUCUAAAAGAUGGAUCCCCAUGAUGAGGCUGGAUGCCAAGCUCCCCCCGAAGGUCCUUUCCUGUGCAUCAACAACUGUGGCUUCUUUGGUAGUGCAGCCACUAAGAACAUGUGCUCCAAGUGUCAUAAAGAUAUGAUGCUGAAACAAGAUCAGGCUAAGCUUGCUGCUUCAUCUAUUGAAAAUUUUGUCAAUGGAUCGUCUAGUAGCAGUAAGGAAGUGCCCGAAAGUGUUACCGAUGGUGCCAUUUCUGUGGAACCAAAGACUAUUCAGUCACAUGCACUGCCUGCAAUGGGAUCUGUGGAGGGUGAGAAACCAAAUGAGGGUCCAAAACGUUGCAACUCUUGCAAUAAGCGUGUCGGUUUAACAGGCUUCAACUGUCGGUGUGGUAAUGUAUUUUGUGCGGUUCAUCGUUACUCUGACAAACAUGACUGCCCUUUUGAUUAUCGCAUGGCUGCACAAAACGCCAUAUCCAAAGCCAAUCCUGUUGUCAAGGCCCAGAAGCUCGAUAAGAUCUAGAUUUCUCGACAUGUAUGUGUCCUAAAUUGAUGUUCAUAUCCAGCUGUGAGGUCGGUUUCUGAUAUGCUGCAAAUCUAUGUAUUGUGGCUUUAUGUUCAUAUAUAUGCUGAAGAUAUUGCAGUUACAAGAUAUCUGAAUUCUGAAAUUUCUAUUUGCUUUGUGAUUCUUUGUUUGUGCUUGUCUUAAUGGACAUCAUCG